This 492-nucleotide ribosomal RNA is filed under the name uncultured bacterium. RNAcentral's name for it is "partial 16S ribosomal RNA". It matches the Rfam family "Bacterial small subunit ribosomal RNA", at positions 28 to 507 of the family's 1533-position model. The record is from RNAcentral.
GGUGAACGCUGGCGGUAGGCCUAACACAUGCAAGUCGAACGGCAGCACAGUAAGAGCUUGCUCUUACGGGUGGCGAGUGGCGGACGGGUGAGGAAUACAUCGGAAUCUACUUUUUCGUGGGGGAUAACGUAGGGAAACUUACGCUAAUACCGCAUACGACCUACGGGUGAAAGCAUGGGAUCUUCUGACCUUGCGCGAUUGAAUGAGCCGAUGUCGGAUUAGCUAGUUGGCGGGGUAAAGGCCCACCAAGGCGACGAUCCGUAGCUGGUCUGAGAGGAUGAUCAGCCACACUGGAACUGAGAAACGGUCCAGACUCCUACGGGAGGCAGCAGUGGGGAAUAUUGGACAAAGGGCGCAAGCCUGAUCCAGCCAUACCGCGUGGGUGAAGAAGGCCUUCGGGUUGUAAAGCCCUUUUGUUGGGAAAGAAAAGCAGCAGGUUAAUACCCCGCUGUUCUGACGGUACCCAAAGAAUAAGCACCGGCUAACUUCGUG